GAACUACUCCCUUCGUCCGAAAAUACUUGUCAUCAAAAUGGAUAAAAAGAGAUGUAUCUAGAACUAAAAUACGUCCAGAUACAUCCCCUUUUAUCCAUUUUGAUGACAAGUAUAUUUCCGGACGGAGGGAGUACAUG
This is a non-coding RNA of Triticum urartu, 137 nucleotides long. Lineage: Eukaryota; Viridiplantae; Streptophyta; Magnoliopsida; Poales; Poaceae. The record is from Rfam.